UGCAAAGGGGGUUUGGUUGUUGAACAUAAUUCUGGGGAUGGGGAUGAUGAUGAUGAUGAUAUAUACACAAGAAGCUUGGACGGUUGGAGCAGAUGGCUGCGUAUCUUUGUGAUAGAUUGGCCUUUGUGUUGUUGGGGCACGUCCUAAAACCUUACUGGUCAGCAAUGGAGCUAAAACGCUAAGGUCAGGGUCAAUCUCCGACAGCAUAUAGAAUGCAGUAAUAAUGAAUUAAAUUAAAUGAAAGUUUAUACAAUAAACAUAUUUUUUUUCCAAUGUAAAAUAUGUUUUUAAGUUAAAAUUAUACUCAAAUUUAACAAUAAAAAUCACUCUACGAAUUUGUGUUUAGAAACAUGGACGAAUUUGUGUUUAGAAACAUGGACAGAAUUUAUUUUAUUAUUAAUUCCUCCUAUUACCUGACUUGAUGUGGAUUAAUUGCGGGAUUCUACUCACUUUUAGUAUUUUACAUUUAUUUCAGGAAGUAGAACGAAAAUAUAAUAACAGGUACUAAUUUGGCAGGAAAACAGUCCAGAUGAUAGAGUUUAUCGCAUUUUUUAAACAACAAAAUGAGAGCCCUUGUUGGACAAAUUGGGCCGAAGUCUUCUUUUCGGAGUGAGCCGCCGCACAUCAAAAGGGAGGCAGAGGAUAA
This 646-nucleotide long non-coding RNA is filed under the name Coffea arabica (coffee). Its description in RNAcentral is "long non-coding RNA (CARA_LNC001982)". Lineage: Eukaryota; Viridiplantae; Streptophyta; Magnoliopsida; Gentianales; Rubiaceae. The record is from RNAcentral.